Molecule: ribosomal RNA, 482 nt
Filed under: uncultured bacterium
Lineage: Bacteria
Description: partial 16S ribosomal RNA
Rfam family: Bacterial small subunit ribosomal RNA
Source: RNAcentral
AUUGAACGCUGGCGGCAUGCCUAACACAUGCAAGUCGAACGGAAACAGGUCUUCGGCUGCUGACGAGUGGGGAACGGGUGAGUGAUAAACCGGAGAGUGCCCAGACGUGGGGGAUAACACGGCGAAAGCUUUGCUAAUAUAGCACACGAUCUGAGGAUGAAAUCAGGGGAGCGCAAGGGACAGUUCGGUUGGAGGGGGCGAUGGCAGAUUAGGUAGAUGGUGGGGUAAAAGCUUACGCAAACGACGAUCUGUAGCUGGUCUGAGAGGACGAGCAGCCACACUGGGACUGAGACACGGCCCAGACUCCUACGGGAGGCAGCAGUGGGGAAUUUUGGACAAUGGGCGAAAGCCUGAUCCAGCAAUGCCGCGUGUAGGAUGAAGGCCUUCGGGUUGUAAACUGCUUUUGUACGGAACGAAAAGGCUCUGGCUAAUACCUGGGGCACAUGACGGUACCGUAAGAAUAAGCACCGGCUAACUACGUG